UACGUAGGGGGCAAGCGUUGUCCGGAUUUACUGGGCUUAAAGAGUUCGUAGGCGGCGCAGAAAGUAGGGUGUGAAAGCCCUCGGCUCAACCGAGGAAUUGCGCUCUAAACUACUGUGCUCGAGGAAUCUAGAGGUGAGCGGAACUGAUGGUGGAGCGGUGAAAUGCGUUGAUAUCAUCAGGAACACCGGAGGCGAAGGCGGCUCACUGGGGAUUUUCUGACGCUGAGGAACGAAAGCCAGGGGAGCGAACGGG
RNAcentral lists this ribosomal RNA (253 nucleotides) under uncultured bacterium. RNAcentral describes it as "partial 16S ribosomal RNA". It matches the Rfam family "Bacterial small subunit ribosomal RNA", at positions 524 to 776 of the family's 1533-position model. The record is from RNAcentral.